AGUUAACGUUGGCGGCGUGCCUAACACAUGCAAGUCGAACGCGUCCUAAGGGCAACUUUAGGAUGAGUGGCGAACGGGUGAGUAUCACGUGGGUAAUCUUCCUUCAAGUGGGGAAUAAGCUCUCGAAAGGGAGUCUAAUACCGCAUGACAUUCCGGGACACAAGUCCCGUAAUCAAAGCCGCAAGGCGCUUGAAGAUGAGCCUGCGUCCUAUUAGCUAGUUGGUGGGGUAACGGCUCACCUAGGCGAAGACGGGUAGCCGGCCUGAGAGGGCGAACGGCCACACUGGAACUGAGAUACGGUCCAGACUCCUACGGGAGGCAGCAGUGGGGAAUAUUGGGCAAUGGGGGAAACCCUGACCAGCGACGCCGCGUGGGUGAAGAAAUCCUUCGGGAUGUAAAGCCCUGUUGUAUGGGAAGAGCGGAAGACGGUACCAUACGAGGAAGCCCCGGCAAACGUACGUGCCAGCAGCCGCGGUAAGAGUCACGUCG
Molecule: ribosomal RNA, 489 nt
Filed under: uncultured bacterium
Lineage: Bacteria
Description: bacterial SSU rRNA
Rfam family: Bacterial small subunit ribosomal RNA
Source: RNAcentral